This 45-nucleotide non-coding RNA is filed under the name Schistosoma curassoni. The record is from RNAcentral. Lineage: Eukaryota; Metazoa; Platyhelminthes; Trematoda; Strigeidida; Schistosomatidae.
AUCCAGCUGAUGAGUUUCGAUUAAGACGAAAUGAGCAUCCUGGAU